AUAAAUUAAAAUUCCAAAUGGCCUAAGGAAACCUCUUGGCCGUGAGUCAUGUUUCAACAAGUCAAACUUCAAUUUCCACCUUCAAUAAGCCACCAAAAUGUGUUGACUUCUUGUCCUAUGUGCACCAUUCUUCAAGGAAAUAAGCAUGUACCUUAAACACACAAUAAAACCAUGUUUUCCUCCCUUCCCAUGCAGCAAAAACAUGAUUCUACACACCAAAGCACAAAAAAACGUGAACUAUAAGG
This 245-nucleotide long non-coding RNA is filed under the name Vigna radiata. Its description in RNAcentral is "long non-coding RNA (VRAD_LNC006399)". Lineage: Eukaryota; Viridiplantae; Streptophyta; Magnoliopsida; Fabales; Fabaceae. The record is from RNAcentral.